This is a long non-coding RNA of Papilio polytes (common Mormon), 169 nucleotides long. RefSeq lists it as uncharacterized. The record is from RefSeq and is a predicted model, not a curated record. The transcript has 3 exons. Lineage: Eukaryota; Metazoa; Arthropoda; Insecta; Lepidoptera; Papilionidae.
CAAUCCCACAUGAUAGUGCUGAGAAUGCAUCUCAAUAAGAGUGAGGAUUACAUAAAUAAAUGCUUGAACAUUGUCCAAGGAUGUGGCAUACAAUGUGAAACGAUGCCGAAAGUAACCCGGUGGCGGCGCAAAGCGUUAGAAGAGAUACAUCGUGUACGCGACGACAUUU